CAGAGAUAGAAGAUAAGGCUCUGCCCACAGUCUCCAGGCUGCAGCAUCUGGUGAGGAAGGGAAGGUGUAUGGCUGCAUUGUUUUUCUCUUGGUGUUCAACUGGAAUAGAGCAGGAAAUUGCUUUGGAGAUGAGGAAACAAACUCUUAUGGAGACCUAAGAGACUGAAGACAUCUGGCGUGGACUACUCUGAUGGUAAAAUUGAAAGUACACCUAAAUUUGCUUUGUUACAGGAUUCUCUUCAGAGGACAAGAGAAGAUGUUACAUUCUCCGCAUGAGGACAAUUCUGCAGCAUCAAAAUCGAAUAAUAUUUGUUUUCUGGCAGCAGAAUUUUGUAUCAUAUUUCUAAAGACAGUAAGCACUUGGGUGGACGUCAAUGAAUACUAAACACUAAUUGAUCUGAUACAGCCGUAUGCACAUACACAGAUAUACAUGGUGGCUUGUAAUGGUUGAAAAAUUACAGUUUGGUUUUAUUAAAAGAUCUGUCACUUUUAGGUCAGAGUGGGAUUUUGGAGGGAUAGUCUCCCACAAUAGAAAACUACCCUGACAACAGUGGUGUUUUGAGGUUGUUUGUUGUUUGGCUUGUUGAUGAUGCUUAGCUAAGGAGACACUUCCUUUCAGAUUCUGUCUUCCAAACCCCAGGGCUCUGUUCUGGGCAGUUCAGCCUAAUGGAAUUAAGCCUGACAUGUUUCAACUCUAUUUCUUGAUAAAAUAAACAUAAAACAAUGGUUUAGAUUUCGAAUAAAACUCUUGAAGCAUGGGGU
RNAcentral lists this long non-coding RNA (762 nucleotides) under Pan troglodytes (chimpanzee). RNAcentral describes it as "lincRNA". Lineage: Eukaryota; Metazoa; Chordata; Mammalia; Primates; Hominidae. The record is from RNAcentral.